UGUUAAAUUUUUUUCUGAAAAUCUUAUACCUGCAAGCCUCCUUAAAUCCAAAAAUGACAAAAUUGCAAUAAUAAAUGCAUGCAAAAAUUUCUGAAUUUAAAGUAUUUAACAGUGUAAUUCUUUUACAUUAUAUUGAGAUUUGAACUCUAUUUCACUCAUAUGAUUUGACAUUACUUGUAGUUGUGAGUUUGCUUAUCAGUAUAUCUAUGUAGCCUUUGUUAAGCUUUUUUUAGUAAAGCUUGCACUAUUGCACUAUGUUAGAUAUUCUUAAGAUUUUAACCAUGCUCAAGUCAUGCAAUAUCAUGCAUGAAUGUUUGAUUUCAUGGUGUUUUAAAAGUUUUCAUACAAGCCUAUACACAAUUUAUACUUUGUUGAACAUUAUAAUUUGUGUGUAUUUAUCAUUACCAAUUAUGGUAAACAGGCUAUUACUUCAAGUUGGAAUUAUUUUUAUUUAUGGAAGUUGCAUAAUUUCCUGUGCUUGAAAUUUUAAAUGAAUUCUAUGUUUAUUCUGUAUUGAAAUGUUUUGAGCGGCUCUUAACACUUCCCAUACAAUGUAUUUUGUAUAGAUAGUGUUGUGCGCUGCACAGAACAUAAAAUAUAGAAAAAACAUGAAAUUUACUAAAAAAAUUCAAGCACAAGAAAUUAUGAAAAUUCCAAUAUUAAAACAAAUGAUUCCAAGUAGAAAUAGUAGCCUGUUUUAUGUGGUUCAUAAUUACCUAUUUAAUCCAGGAAAAUUGGUAUCCCACAAAUAAUAAUGAACACACAGUAUUUGAGACUUAUUUUGAUAGCUUUUGUUUUUUAAUUAUAUUUGAAUCAUGUGUUUACUAUGAUUGAGAACAAGUUUGAUUAGCUGAGAGUUUUUUUGAUUAUGCUAUACCAAACAUUAUUUAUUUGAUAAAAG
Molecule: long non-coding RNA, 901 nt
Filed under: Mytilus galloprovincialis (Mediterranean mussel)
Lineage: Eukaryota; Metazoa; Mollusca; Bivalvia; Mytilida; Mytilidae
Source: RNAcentral